AGGUGAGCAGCCCCAUUGCGCCACGUCCCACGGUGCAUCAGGCCCAUAGCAUCCAGUCCGCUGAUCACCGACUGCUGACUCUGAAGCCGCGAGCCAGAAUACACAUUUUCCCUGCUGGUGGCAAUUUGAGAAAACUGUGGGCCUUUGGGAAAUGGAGCCUUGCUGAAGAGCAUGUGUCACUGGGGACAGACUUCGGAGUACUGUCGCCGAGCCCCAAACCUCGUACUCCCAACUACUUCCUUCCUGGCUGCUGUGGGGAAUGUGGUGCCCCGCUUUCUGCCUGUUAUGCUUCCCCACCACAACCCAUCCCCCUGGAUGCCGUGAUCCAGAAGGCUAUGGAUGGGGAGUUACUUAUGGAAGCAUGAGUGACUCAAAUGCAGCCGUGUCACCCCAAAAUAGCACCCCAAGAUGAGCGAUGACCUCACGGAAGCCACAUCAUGGAAUUGUCCUUCUAGUCAACCUCCUACAUUCUCUGGCUUCUCCCAAGAUCACUUGCAACUACAGGCGGGGACAAUAGCAGGAGUCCCCGGUGGGGCUCCUGUGACCUUCCCUCCGCAGUCUCCUAGGGAGUGCCAAUAACUCCAUUGCCAUGGCCACAGGCUUGCCGGUCACUGCACUGUUCCACUCCGAGCUGCCGUGGCUACCUGACCCGAGUACGUUCUACUCCAAGAUGGCAUCCAUUCUGCUGUACCUGGGGGGAAAGCACCAUGUCUCAACAGUGUGAAGAAGGUGGGCCAUAGUGAAGGUUUUUGGUCUCAAAAUCCCAAACUGAGCAACAAAGAGAAGAGAGGAUUCCCCUACCUGAGUAACGUAAGCAGGAAACAGUUCUAACAGGACAUAGAUUUAA
This is a long non-coding RNA of Jaculus jaculus (lesser Egyptian jerboa), 847 nucleotides long. RefSeq lists it as uncharacterized. The record is from RefSeq and is a predicted model, not a curated record. Lineage: Eukaryota; Metazoa; Chordata; Mammalia; Rodentia; Dipodidae. The transcript is spliced from 3 exons.